ACAGUGGACGCGAGCAUCUGUGGCCAAGUUUUUAAGGGCGCACGGUGGAUGCCUUGGCACCAGGAACCGAUGAAGGACGUGGGAGGCCACGAUAGUCCCCGGGGAGUCGUCAACCAGGCUUUGAUCCGGGGGUUUCCGAAUGGGGAAACCCGGCAGUCGUCAUGGGCUGUCACCCAUACCUGAACACAUAGGGUAUGUGGAGGGAACGCGGGGAAGUGAAACAUCUCAGUACCCGCAGGAAGAGAAAACAACCGUGAUUCCGGGAGUAGUGGCGAGCGAAACCGGAUGAGGCCAAACCGUAUACGUGUGAGACCCGGCAGGGGUUGCGUAUGCGGGGUUGUGGGAUCUCUCUUUUACGGUCUGCCGGCCGUGAGACGAGUCAGAAACCGUUGAUGUAGGCGAAGGACAUGCGAAAGGUCCGGCGUAGAGGGUAAGACCCCCGUAGUCGAAACAUCAGCGGCUCGUUUGAGAGACACCCAAGUAGCACGGGGCCCGAGAAAUCCCGUGUGAAUCUGGCGGGACCACCCGCUAAGCCUAAAUAUUCCCUGGUGACCGAUAGCGGAUAGUACCGUGAGGGAAUGGUGAAAAGUACCGCGGGAGCGGAGUGAAAUAGUACCUGAAACCGUGUGCCUACAAGCCGUGGGAGCGUCGC
This 652-nucleotide ribosomal RNA is filed under the name Streptomyces resistomycificus. Its description in RNAcentral is "bacterial LSU rRNA". It matches the Rfam family "Bacterial large subunit ribosomal RNA", at positions 1 to 585 of the family's 2925-position model. The record is from RNAcentral. Lineage: Bacteria; Bacillati; Actinomycetota; Actinomycetes; Kitasatosporales; Streptomycetaceae.